This 72-nucleotide transfer RNA is filed under the name Aspergillus thermomutatus. RNAcentral's name for it is "Neosartorya pseudofischeri tRNA". It matches the Rfam family "tRNA". Rfam says of the family: Transfer RNA (tRNA) molecules are approximately 80 nucleotides in length. Their secondary structure includes four short double-helical elements and three loops (D, anti-codon, and T loops). Further hydrogen bonds mediate the characteristic L-shaped molecular structure. tRNAs have two regions of fundamental functional importance: the anti-codon, which is responsible for specific mRNA codon recognition, and the 3' end, to which the tRNAs corresponding amino acid is attached (by aminoacyl-tRNA synthetases). tRNAs cope with the degeneracy of the genetic code in two manners: having more than one tRNA (with a specific anti-codon) for a particular amino acid; and 'wobble' base-pairing, i.e. permitting non-standard base-pairing at the 3rd anti-codon position. RNAcentral also lists the same sequence under 13 other names. The record is from Rfam by way of RNAcentral. Lineage: Eukaryota; Fungi; Ascomycota; Eurotiomycetes; Eurotiales; Aspergillaceae.
GGCCGGAUGGCGCAAUGGUAGCGCGUUGGUUUUCGGCACCAAAGGUUGCGCGUUCGAAUCGCGUUUCGGUCG